UAUUAUAGUCCUCAGGGCUUUGUAAGAGCCCCUCAUAAGAUGCUGUU
This 47-nucleotide transfer RNA is filed under the name Fredericella sultana. Its description in RNAcentral is "tRNA-Tyr". The record is from RNAcentral. Lineage: Eukaryota; Metazoa; Bryozoa; Phylactolaemata; Fredericellidae.